This 468-nucleotide ribosomal RNA is filed under the name uncultured bacterium. RNAcentral's name for it is "partial 16S ribosomal RNA". It matches the Rfam family "Bacterial small subunit ribosomal RNA", at positions 28 to 507 of the family's 1533-position model. The record is from RNAcentral.
GACGAACGCUGGCGGCGUGCUUAACACAUGCAAGUCGAACGGAAAGGCCCUGCUUUUGUGGGGUGCUCGAGUGGCGAACGGGUGAGUAACACGUGAGUAACCUGCCCUUGACUUUGGGAUAACUUCAGGAAACUGGGGCUAAUACAGGAUAGGAGCUCCUGCUGCAUGGUGGGGGUUGGAAAGUUUCGGCGGUUGGGGAUGGAUUCGCGGCUUAUCAGCUUGUUGGGGGGGUAGGGGCUUACCAAGGCUUUGACGGGUAGGCGGCCUGAGAGCGUGACCGGCCACAUGGGGCCUGAGAUACGCACCAGAAGCCUACCGGAGGCAGUAGUCGGGAAUCUUGCACAAUGGGCGGAAGCCUGAUGCAGCAACGCCGCGUGCGGGAUGCCGGCCUUCGGGUUGUAAACCGCUUUCGCCUGUGACGAAGCGGGAGUGACGGUAAUGGGUAAAGAAGCACCGGCUAACUACGUG